CUCCCCUCCCGCUCUCCUUCCUUCCGCCCAACCAGCCCUCCCCAACCCCAGCCUUGGCUGGACGCUGAGCCAUCUUAGGCCAGCAGGUGUCGCUGUGGCCCGGAGAAUGGCCGUCCAGGACCCAGCUGGAGAAGGAGGGAGGGAAUAGGGACGCGGACUGAAGAUUCUGUCCAGAGGCUCAGCCCCACGGCUAGAAGGGAGGGCCGGGGAACGCGAGAGAAGGGAAAGAAGCCUGAACCAAAGUGCGAGCACGUGGUCCAGGUGUCCCGACGUCGCACCAGCCUGGGGCAUGGAGGGGGCGCCUGGGAGCGCAGCAUUAUGAGACAGCUGGAAAGGCUGGAAGGAGCCUCUGCGAUCUUCUGCUUCAAGUGCCUCGUUUUACGCAGGAGGCAACUAAGGCCCCGAGAGAGAUGGAGAUUUGCUCCUGUUGGUAUCUAUGUAUGGGUGUGUGACAUGGAAGUUCCUAUUAGAAGGGGACUUGUAAAUGUGACACGUGUGUGUUGUGUGUGUAUGUGUAGGGGAGGGUGCUGUGUGUGUGCAUAGGAAGGAGUCUUAUGUCAGAUUCAGGGAGUAUGAGCAGAAGUUUAUGUGCCCUAUGCAAGGUUUGAAAUUUGAUUGGCCUUUAUUUUAGUUUCCCUCCCCAUCCCCAUCACUAAAGCAGAUGCAACCUGACAAAUAACUUUUCAUAGUGUUAUUUUAUAGAAUUAAAAAUGUGCUUUUAUUGGAAAAAUAUUAAAAAGUGAGACCCUUUUCCAUCUUUCUAUGUGUUGUGUCCUAGGUGUCUGCCUGUGUUGCCUAGUCCUGAGUGGAUACCAGUGAGAGAUUUUUUAAGAAGGUGCCCAUGUCUGUGUGUGUGUGUGUGUGUGUGUGUGUGAGAGAGAGAGAGAGAGAGAGAGAGAGAGAGAGAGAGAGAGAGAGAGAGACAGAGACAGAGACAGAGACAGAGACAGAGACAGAGACAGAGACAGAGAAAGAGAGAGAUAUAAGUGUGUACGAGGUACGAGACAGCAAUGGAAGUCUAAGAAGGAUGAGGAAUAGAGAGGAGAAUAUGUUGUGAGAGUAAGCCAGGAAGCCGGUGCUUGCACAUAGUAGGUGCUUAAUACAAGUAUUGAGUGUGUACUAGAGACAGGGAACACGAGUGCUGACAGUGAGAGAGAACAGAAGAGAGAAAGCCAGAGAGAGUGUGUGUGCGAGAGCCAGGGAGCCUGUAUGAGUGUAUGAGAGAGCGCGCCAGGGAGAGCAUGUGUGAGUGUGUGUCGGAGAGAGCCAGGGAGCGUGUGUGAGA
This 1285-nucleotide long non-coding RNA is filed under the name Monodelphis domestica (gray short-tailed opossum). RNAcentral describes it as "lncRNA (ENSMODG00000027421.2)". The record is from RNAcentral. Lineage: Eukaryota; Metazoa; Chordata; Mammalia; Didelphimorphia; Didelphidae.